Long non-coding RNA from Astyanax mexicanus (Mexican tetra), 2176 nucleotides. RefSeq lists it as uncharacterized. The record is from RefSeq and is a predicted model, not a curated record. Lineage: Eukaryota; Metazoa; Chordata; Actinopteri; Characiformes; Acestrorhamphidae. The transcript has 2 exons.
GUGUUUUGGUUUGUUUAACACUUUUAAGUUACUACAUGAUUCCUUAUGUGUUCCUUCAUAAAUAUUUAUAUAUAUUUUGCAGCUGUUUUAGCAGAGUAUGCAUUAGGCCCUGAUUACUUACGGCUCCUGGUCUGAUGAUUGGGAGUGUUGUUUAUUAUUUAUAAAUAUUGAUGUGCUUUAUUAGCUGCGUCCCUGGUGUAUCACAGCACACACUGAAGACAUCCGGCUCUGUUUUAGUGCAACGCAGUGGUUGGGUUGUGUUGCCAGGCCUGUAAAAGUGCUAAAUCAGUGAUGUACAGCUGAUAGAGGGCGUGCGUGAGCUGCUGGAUGUGUAUAGGUGUGUAUUUAUAGUGUAUAUAGACGGUUAGGGCUGUGAUUUUAUAAGUGAGGAAAGCUGUAUGAAGUGGCAGUAUUCCCCGAUUCCCCGCGCUGUCCCUUAUUUAACACGGCUGGAUCUCAGAGGACUGUUUUUUUCCACUUCCUGUCAACUACUGCUGUGGUGUAAAGAGAUAGUGACUCAUCUCCCUCCUCUGGGCCUCAAAGACAUUUCAAAAACAGCUAUUAUUUAACUAUAAAAAGUGAUUAUAACCUGAUACUAAGUGAUUAACAUCAGAUAUUAAUAGGAAAUAAUCACUAUUCACCGGGCUACAUAUUAUCUGGUGGCCACCACUUAGGUUCUAUGUGGUGAGAACCAGAUACUAAGUUGUGAAUCCCAAAUACUCCAUUGUGAGCCCCAGGUAGCAUGUAAUAAGCACCAGACACUAUGUAGUGACCAUCAGAUGCUAAGUGGUGAGCACCAGACACACCAGAUACUAAAUGGUUAUGACCACAUUCUAUUAUCAUUCUGUUACUUAGAAGCUAACACUAGAUAAAAUGUGGUGAGUACCAGGUACUAUGUUGUAAGGUGUGAGCACCAGAAAAUAUAUGGUGAGCACCAGAUACUAUGUUGUAAGUGGUGAGCACCAGAUAAUAUAUGGUGAACACCAAAUACUAUGUGCUUACCACUUAAUACUAUCUGGUACUACAUAGCUAACACCAGAUAUAAUGAGGUGAGCACCAAAUACUAUGUGGUGAGCACCAGAUAAGAUGUGCUCACCACUUAAUAUUGUCUGUUUCUACAUAGCUAACACCAGAUAUAAUGUGGUGAGCACCAAUUACUAGAUGGUGAGCACCAGAUGCUAUGUGCUUACCACUAAAUACUAUUUGGUACUACAUAGCUAACACCAGAUAUAAUCUUGUGAGCACCAGGUACUAUGUGGUGACCAUCAGAUGCUAAUUGGUGAGCACCAGAUACACCAGAUUAGCACUUAGCAUCUAGUGCACCAGAUAUUAUGUACUGAGCAACAGUAAGCACCAGAUACUAGGUGGUUAUCACCACAUUCUAUUAUCUAUUACUAAGUAGUCAACACCAGAUAUAAUGUGGUGAGUACCAGGUCAUGUUGUAAGUGGUGAGCACCAGAUACUAUGUGGUAAGCACCAGUGAGCACCAGAUGCUAUGGCGUUAUCACCACUUUCUAUUAUCUGUUACUAUUGUAGCCAGAUAUAAUGUGAUGGGCACCAGAUACUAUGUUGUGAGCACCAGAUACUAUGUGGUGAGCACCAGAUACUAUGUUGUAAGUGGUGAGCACCAGAUAAUAUAUGGUGAGCACCAAAUACUAUGUGCUUACCACUUAAUACUAUCUGGUACUACAUAGCUAACACCAGAUAUAAUGUGAUGAGCACCAAAUACUAGGUGGUGAGCACCAGAUGCUAUGUGCUUACCACUUAAUACUAUUAUCUGUUACUAUUGAAGCCAACACCACUCAAUAAUGUGAUGGGCACCAGGUACUAUGUUGUGAGCACCAUAUGCUAUGUGGUGAGCACCAGCGAGCACCAGAUACAAUGUGGUUAUCACCAUAUUCUAUUCACAUCUCAUACUAUGUAGCUUACUCCAGAUAUAAUGUGAUAAGCACCAGGUACUAUGUUGUGAGCACCAGAUAUGAAGUUGUGAGCACCAGAUAUAAUGUAAUGUAUGUAAUAAGCACAUCAGAUGCUAUGUGGUGACCACCAGAUACUAAUAAGAAAAAAAUAUCACUGUUCACGUUGCCACACAGUUUCUGGUCUUCACUACGUAUCGUCUGGUGCUCACCACACAGCAUCUUGUGGACAUCGUAUUGCAUCUGGUGCUCACAGCUUA